AUGGGCGAAGAACAGAAAAACUGUAACACUACUUUUAUAAAUAAAAGUUAUGCGGAUACAAUUAAGUUGAAUAAAACUAAAUUAAAAAUAAGUAAAAAUGGUAAUUUAUUAAAUGAACACAACGAGUGUAACAACCCUCACAUUUUAUAUGAGAAAAGGUGUUUAGAAGGAAAUGAAAAAACAGAAAAAAAUGAAAGAGAAUCAAAAAAUUUAAAAGAAACAACUUUGUUUUAUUUACAUCAUAAUGCCAGUUAUCCGAAAAAAAAGAGUGCUCAAACUGUUACAACAAAAGAUUUUAUUUUACAAGAACAUAACAUGGAUGUUGAAAAUAACAUAAAAAAUAGUAAUGUACAAAAGAAAUAUUAUUACAGUGAUGUGAUUAAUAACGCAAAUGUAGUUAACAAUGCAUCAAUUUUAAACACUACUUUAAGUGGUAAUAGCACCUAUAGUGGAAAUAGCACAGGUAGUGGUAACACAGGCCCACUAAUUGAUAAUAGUAGUCCAGUGGCUAAUACCACUCCAGUUAUUAAUACUACUUACGACUACAUUGAUAAUAAUAAUUAUUCUACCUCCAGCACAAUUACCAGUGAUUGUCACAGUAAAAACAAAUAUGAACAUAACAACUUAUGUUACAAUACUCUAAAUAAAAGGAAACUAAAUUAUAUGCAACAAAACUUGUAUGCUGAAAAGAAAAAUGAAAGCAUGUUUCAACUAUCUUAUCCAACAUAUAAACAUUUUACUAAGCACGAUAACGAAAUCAAAAAAAAUAAAUAUGAAACAUACCCAUUAAAAGAAAGUGAUAUAAAAUUAAAUAUGAAUCAUUUUUUCGAUUUCAAAAAAAAAUUAAAAACAAUUGACAAAAUAAAAGAACCAGAUGUAGUUAAUAUGAAGAAAACAAUAUAUUAUAAUGAAUUAGUUAAUAAUGUGAAAACAUGUAACACAGGAUUUAGUAUUAAUAAUAAUACUUGCUCAAACAAUGAUAAUAAUAAUAAUAAUAAUAAUAAUGUGAAGAACUUAUUUAACAGUAUUAAUGUCGUAAACGAUUUAAAUUGUGCACAUACAUAUGAAAGCACCAUGAAAAAUUAUAAUAACGAACACAGACGUGUCAUAGAUAAUGAUAAUGUAUAUUAUGAAGGGCAAGAGAAAGAGGUUUUUGAAAACGUAAAUAGGUUAAAGUUUGUCGUAAGUAAUGUUAAUAACGGUGAUGCAUGUGGUAAUACGUGUGGAAAUGUAUGUGUUAAUACAUGUGACAGUGUAUGUGACAAUGCAUGUAGUAAUGCACGUGAUAAUAUAACUGACAAUAUUAUUAACAACAUCUAUGAUAAUAGCGAUGGCAAUGACUACAGCAAAAUUAGUAGCAACAAUAAUGACGAAAACAGUAAAAACGUUGCGAAAAAUUCCGAAGGUAAACACAUUGUGAACAACUGUGAAGGUAAAAAAAAUAAUAAAGUAAUAUAUCUGAACUCAUUGUAUGCACCGAAAAAAAAAAAAAAAUGA
RNAcentral lists this long non-coding RNA (1497 nucleotides) under Piliocolobus tephrosceles (Ugandan red Colobus). RNAcentral's name for it is "lncRNA (ENSPTEG00000006622.1)". Lineage: Eukaryota; Metazoa; Chordata; Mammalia; Primates; Cercopithecidae. The record is from RNAcentral.